Molecule: ribosomal RNA, 328 nt
Filed under: uncultured bacterium
Lineage: Bacteria
Description: bacterial SSU rRNA
Rfam family: Bacterial small subunit ribosomal RNA
Source: RNAcentral
GACGUUAGCGACAGAAGAAGCACCGGCUAACUCCGUGCCAGCAGCCGCGGUAAUACGGAGGGUGCGAGCGUUAAUCGGAAUUACUGGGACGUAAAAGCGCAUGCAGGUGGUUUGUUAAGUCAGAUGUGAAAAGCCCGGGCUCAAACCUCGGAAAUAGCAUUUGAAAACUGGCAGACUAGAGUACUGUAGGAGGGGGUAGAAUUUCAGGUGUAGCGGUGAAAAUGCGUAGAGAUCUGAAGGAAUACCGGUGGCGAAGGCGGCCCCUGGACAGAUACUGACACUCAGAUGCGAAAGCGUGGGGAGCAAACAGGAUUAGAUACCCUGGUAG